UACGUAGGGUGCAAGCGUUGUCCGGAAUUAUUGGGCGUAAAGGGCUCGUAGGCGGUCCAUCGCGUCGGGAGUGAAAAGCUGGGGCUUAACCCCAGUCCUGCUUCCGAUACGGGUGGACUAGAGGUAGGUAGGGGAGAUCGGAAUUCCUGGUGUAGCGGUGAAAUGCGCAGAUAUCAGGAGGAACACCAGUGGCGAAGGCGGCUACCUGGACCGGUUCUGACGCUGAGGCGCGAAAGCGUGGGUAGCAAACAGG
RNAcentral lists this ribosomal RNA (253 nucleotides) under uncultured bacterium. RNAcentral describes it as "partial 16S ribosomal RNA". It matches the Rfam family "Bacterial small subunit ribosomal RNA", at positions 524 to 776 of the family's 1533-position model. The record is from RNAcentral.